GGCAUCGAGUGUCAGCGUCAAGCCCUGGCUUGCUGACCGGCAACCCUCCCCCGCGGUGGGGUGCUCCAGGUGAAAGCCCGGCAGGAUCAUCGGCGAUCCCUGCAAGCGCGUGGC
Molecule: non-coding RNA, 114 nt
Filed under: Actinobacteria bacterium OK074
Lineage: Bacteria; Bacillati; Actinomycetota; Actinomycetes
Also listed under: 1 other name
Description: SAM (S-adenosyl methionine) riboswitch aptamer
Rfam family: SAM (S-adenosyl methionine) riboswitch aptamer
About the family: SAM-IV is a mRNA element that regulates gene expression via direct sensing of S-adenosylmethionine (SAM or AdoMet). SAM-IV riboswitches share conserved nucleotide positions with the previously described SAM-I riboswitches sequence analysis and molecular recognition experiments suggest that SAM-I and SAM-IV riboswitches share similar ligand binding sites, but have different scaffolds.
Source: Rfam by way of RNAcentral